CCUACGGGCGGCAGCAGUGAGGAAUAUUGGUCAAUGGACGAGAGUCUGAACCAGCCAAGUAGCGUGAAGGAUGACUGCCCUAUGGGUUGUAAACUUCUUUUAUAUGGGAAUAAAAUGUUCCACGUGUGGGAUUUUGUAUGUACCAUAUGAAUAAGGAUCGGCUAACUCCGUGCCAGCAGCCGCGGUAAUACGGAGGAUCCGAGCGUUAUCCGGAGUUAUUGGGUUUAAAGGGAGCGUAGGUGGAUUGUUAAGUCAGUUGUGAAAGUUUGCGGCUCAACCGUAAAAUUGCAGUUGAAACUGGCAGUCUUGAGUACAGUAGAGGUGGGCGGAAUUCGUGGGGUAGCGGUGAAAUGCUUAGAUAUCACGAAGAACUCCGAUUGCGAAGGCAGUUCACUGGACUGCAACUGACACUGAGGCUCGAAAGUGUGGGUAUCAAACAGGAUUAGAUACCCGGGUAGUC
This 460-nucleotide ribosomal RNA is filed under the name uncultured bacterium. Its description in RNAcentral is "partial 16S ribosomal RNA". It matches the Rfam family "Bacterial small subunit ribosomal RNA", at positions 338 to 795 of the family's 1533-position model. The record is from RNAcentral.